RNAcentral lists this ribosomal RNA (497 nucleotides) under uncultured bacterium. RNAcentral's name for it is "partial 16S ribosomal RNA". It matches the Rfam family "Bacterial small subunit ribosomal RNA", at positions 28 to 507 of the family's 1533-position model. The record is from RNAcentral.
GAUGAACGCUGGCGGCGUGCCUAAUACAUGCAAGUCGAGCGAACAGACGAGGAGCUUGCUCCUCUGACGUUAGCGGCGGACGGGUGAGUAACACGUGGAUAACCUACCUAUAAGACUGGGAUAACUUCGGGAAACCGGAGCUAAUACCGGAUAAUAUAUUGAACCGCAUGGUUCAAUAGUGAAAGACGGUUUUGCUGUCACUUAUAGAUGGAUCCGCGCCGCAUUAGCUAGUUGGUAAGGUAACGGCUUACCAAGGCAACGAUGCGUAGCCGACCUGAGAGGGUGAUCGGCCACACUGGAACUGAGACACGGUCCAGACUCCUACGGGAGGCAGCAGUAGGGAAUCUUCCGCAAUGGGCGAAAGCCUGACGGAGCAACGCCGCGUGAGUGAUGAAGGUCUUCGGAUCGUAAAACUCUGUUAUUAGGGAAGAACAAAUGCGUAAGUAACUAUGCACGUCUUGACGGUACCUAAUCAGAAAGCCCCGGCUAACUACGUG